UGAACGCUGGCGGCGUGCUUCACACAUGCACGUCGAACGACGCACUUUAUUUGAUUUCCUUCGGGACUGAUUAUUUUGUGACUGAGUGGCGGACGGGUGAGUAACGCGUGGGUAACCUGCCUUGUACAGGGGGAUAACAGUUGGAAACGGCUGCUAAUACCGCAUACGCGCACAGCAUCGCAUGAUGCAGUGUGAAAAACUCCGGUGGUAUAAGAUGGACCCGCGUUGGAUUAGCUAGUUGGUGAGGUAACGGCCCACCAAGGCGACGAUCCAUAGCCGACCUGAGAGGGUGACCGGCCACAUUGGGACUGAGACACGGCCCAAACUCCUACGGGAGGCAGCAGUGGGGAAUAUUGCACAAUGGGCGAAAGCCUGAUGCAGCGACGCCGCGUGAGCGAAGAAGUAUUUCGGUAUGUAAAGCUCUAUCAGCAGGGAAGAUAAUGACGGUACCUGACUAAGAAGCACCGGCUAAAUACGUG
RNAcentral lists this ribosomal RNA (479 nucleotides) under uncultured bacterium. RNAcentral's name for it is "partial 16S ribosomal RNA". It matches the Rfam family "Bacterial small subunit ribosomal RNA", at positions 30 to 507 of the family's 1533-position model. The record is from RNAcentral.